Dunckerocampus dactyliophorus (ringed pipefish) is the source of this 592-nucleotide long non-coding RNA. RefSeq lists it as uncharacterized. The transcript is spliced from 3 exons. NCBI's taxonomy places the organism in Eukaryota, Metazoa, Chordata, Actinopteri, Syngnathiformes, Syngnathidae. The record is from RefSeq and is a predicted model, not a curated record.
GGUGACAGGUGAACAGUAGAUGGGUCGGUCUGCCCAGGUGGACGUGAGACCUACCGUGUGGUCGCUGUGCAUAUGAGACAGGAAGAAGAGUCGCGUCUCUGGACACUUGCGAACUUUCCAGAAGUCAACAGCCAGCGGAGUGUUUGGAAUGACUUUGCCAUUAGACAUCGCAUCAGCCUUCACGAAUUAAUUGCAAGUACUGGAUAAGAUUUUGGCAUAAAGAUCAUGCCUUCAGCAAUCAUCCACCCGGCCCAAUUAUCCUCAGUUGUGUCUGCUGCUCCUGCUGCUGCUGAUGGGUAUGGUGAAAGGGUGGAGGGAGGGUUCACUGCUGGGCCUCAGCCGUCAAGGUAAUUACAAGGUAAAAAGUAAAUUACAAAAAUAAAACAUUUCAUUCUUAUUAUAUUGCAAAUCAAGAGUCUCAAACUACAAAAAUGUGAAAUAAAAAGGAGGGAAUUGUGAGUCAUGAGUCGGUUUAGCCUUGACUGCUAGUUGAGUGAUGGUGGGAUAUGAUGAUUAAGUGUUAAUUUUUGUCAACAAAACAUGGAAAAGAGAAAGUCAAAGCCAUCAGGUGCACAAAUUUUACUUUUUUACU